GACGAACCGUCCAAACGUUAUUCGGAAUCACUGGGCUUACAGAGUUCGUAGGCGGUCUGGAAAGUUGGGUGUGAAAUCCCUCGGCUCAACCGAGGAACUGCGCUUGAAACUACCAGACUCGAGGGAGAUAGAGGAAAGCGGAACUGAUGGUGGAGCGGUGAAAUGCGUUGAUAUCAUCAGGAACACCGGUGGCGAAGGCGGCUUUCUGGGUCUUACCUGACGCUGAGGAACGAAAGGCCAGGGGAGCGAACGGG
Molecule: ribosomal RNA, 254 nt
Filed under: uncultured bacterium
Lineage: Bacteria
Description: partial 16S ribosomal RNA
Rfam family: Bacterial small subunit ribosomal RNA
Source: RNAcentral